CCCUUAGAUGUUCUGGGCUGCACGCGUGCUACACUGAUAUUGCCAAUAUGUCAUUCUUAUCCGAAAUGGAUUGGGUAAUCAAGUAAUGAAAUUUCAUGCUUGGAAUCGGUAAUUGCAAUUUUAUCGUGAACGAGGAAUUCCUAGUAAGCACUAGUCAUCAGCUAAUGUUGAUUAUGUCCCUGCCCUUUGUACACACCGCCCGUCGCUACUACUGAUUGAGUGGUCCGGUGAGGCUUUGGGAUCUGAGCGGAAAGAGCGUUUCGCUGUUUCUGCUCGGAAAACUCAGUCGAACCUUAUCAUUUAGAGGAAGGAGAAGUCGUAACA
This 324-nucleotide ribosomal RNA is filed under the name uncultured eukaryote. RNAcentral's name for it is "partial 18S ribosomal RNA". It matches the Rfam family "Eukaryotic small subunit ribosomal RNA", at positions 1470 to 1796 of the family's 1831-position model. The record is from RNAcentral.